UGACCACACGAGUUUCCUCCUAGUGCUGCAGUAUUCUCCGACAUUCCAAAGAUGUACAGGCCCCAGAUGCCCAUCCACUCUGCAGGGUUCUGGUUCUCAUGCUCUCUUCUGAUUUGCGAGGGCUCAUUUCAUCUUCUGUCCUUUAAGAUUGAGCUCAUGGAAUCAUCUGGCUAUCAAUAAAAAAAAUCAAUCCUGGAAUAUGUAUGAUGGACACGAGAGAAAAAUGAAUAUUCCUUGUCUACUGGAUGAAAAAAAAGCAAGCAUCAAUAAUACCGCAUUUCAUUAAAAAAGAUUUAAUAAACACAGCUGAUUGAUUUGGUAUCAUUGAUUUAGAAGAUGAACGAGCUAAAACUGGAUCUAAGCAACAAUUAAGGUCUCCACCCAUCACCAAUGAGUACAGACUUAGAUCUGGCAAAAAUUAAAAAAAAUGCUCAAAGAAACCUGGGUCAUCUAUACUCGGAGCAUAUACAUUGGCAAAUACCAUUAGUUUGUUAUUUACUUUCCCUGAUACUAUAACAAAAUGCCCAUUAGUAUCAGAAAUUACUUUAUGUUGAUCAAAGGGAAAUUUAUUAUCUAUAAGGAUCAAAACUCCCCUCGCUUUGAUCUGAAACGAGGAAUGGAAAUGAGAUUAAAAAGACAUGAAUUGUCACGCUUACGUACAUGGGUUUCUUGAAGAAAAACAAUUGGUACCUUAAGUUGUUUAAUACAGGCAAAAAUCUUAUUUCUUUUCAUGGAGUGAUUUAGUUCUUUCACGUUAAAACUAAGUAAAUUAAUACCUUGAUCCAUCUUAAAACUAUUUAUAAGAAAGGUUAAAGUAGCAAUCAGAAAAAUAUAAAUUAAACCCAAAUAAUAAACACUGAGAUAUAUUUGCUAAGCAACAGAAUUGACUAGAUUCCCAAAUCAGCUUCAAGAAAAAAGAAA
Molecule: long non-coding RNA, 921 nt
Organism: Mobula hypostoma (lesser devil ray)
Lineage: Eukaryota; Metazoa; Chordata; Chondrichthyes; Myliobatiformes; Myliobatidae
Exons: 3
Source: RefSeq, a predicted model, not a curated record